This 433-nucleotide ribosomal RNA is filed under the name uncultured bacterium. RNAcentral describes it as "partial 16S ribosomal RNA". It matches the Rfam family "Bacterial small subunit ribosomal RNA", at positions 29 to 507 of the family's 1533-position model. The record is from RNAcentral.
AACGAACGCUGGCGGCAUGCCUAACACAUGCAAGUCGAACGAGACCUUCGGGUCUAGUGGCGCACGGGUGCGUAACGCGUGGGAAUCUGCCCUUGGGUUCGGAAUAACAGUUGGAAACGACUGCUAAUACCGGAUGAUGACGUAAGUCCAAAGAUUUAUCGCCCAAGGAUGAGCCCGCGUAGGAUCAGCUAGUUGGUGAGGUAAAGGCUCACCAAGGCGACGAUCCUUAGCUGGUCUGAGAGGAUGAUCAGCCACACUGGGACUGAGACACGGCCCAGACUCCUACGGGAGGCAGCAGAGGGGAAUAUUGGACAAUGGGCGAAAGCCUGAUCCAGCAAUGCCGCGUGAGUGAUGAAGGCCUUAGGGUUGUAAAGCUCUUUUACCCGGGAUGAUAAUGACAGUACCGGGAGAAUAAGCUCCGGCUAACUCCGUG